Molecule: ribosomal RNA, 260 nt
Filed under: uncultured methanogenic archaeon
Lineage: Archaea; Methanobacteriati; Methanobacteriota
Description: partial 16S ribosomal RNA
Rfam family: Archaeal small subunit ribosomal RNA
Source: RNAcentral
CCCUACGGGGCGCAGCAGGCGCGAAAACUUUACAAUGCGGGAAACCGUGAUAAGGGAACUCCGAGUGUCCGUAAAUGCGGACUGUCCGUAUGUUUAAAAAGCAUGCGAAGAAAGGGCCGGGCAAGACCGGUGCCAGCCGCCGCGGUAAUACCGGCGGCUCGAGUGGUGGCCACUAUUACUGGGCUUAAAGCGUUCGUAGCUGGGUCGUUAAGUCUCUUGGGAAAUCUACCGGCUUAACCGAUAGGCGUCCAAGGGAUACU